GCCCCAGUAGCUCAGUGGCAGAGCGUUUGCAUGGUAAGCAAAAGGCCGAGGGUUCGACUCCCUCUUGGGGCU
RNAcentral lists this transfer RNA (72 nucleotides) under Microcaldota archaeon. RNAcentral's name for it is "tRNA-Thr". It matches the Rfam family "tRNA". Rfam says of the family: Transfer RNA (tRNA) molecules are approximately 80 nucleotides in length. Their secondary structure includes four short double-helical elements and three loops (D, anti-codon, and T loops). Lineage: Archaea; Nanobdellati; Microcaldota. The record is from RNAcentral.